GCGUGGGGAGCCGGUCUUGCAGCAGCGGGAUUAGCUUCUAAAGUCUCUUUCAUCUCUCCUAAGGAAGCCUAGAAGAGGAGGAAGAGGAAAGAAAAGGAAUCAGGAAUGGCUCUUAGUCCCUCUGAUGUCACUUAAAUUCCAUCUCACAGUGACCGGUGGUGUGGAAUUUGUGAAGAGGCUCCACUGGGAAGGACUUAUACCCAGACAUGGAUGGAGACAGGGUGUGGGCCCCAUGGUGUCACUGCUCUCGGGCAGCUGGGAUUGAAGGAUUGUUUAAGAGCCAGGUCUGGAUGCACUGCCAGCUCUGUAGACCGGAUUAUGGAAGCUGCACAUGGAAGUCUCAAUGUGCACAACUGCCUGAUAAAAUUUGGAAGAAGAGAUUAGGAAGAGGAAAUCUUUUCUGCCUGAUUUUAUACUCCAUUUGUAGUAAACAUUUAACAGCAAGAGAUUCUUUAAACCAUUCUAAGUACAUCCAUCCUAUGGAGAUUGUGGUAUUCCUGCAGACUCUUGUGAAACAGAUGUUUCAGGUGAAAAUGGUAAGACUUGGGUAAUACUUCUUCUAGGAUGGGGCAUUUCCUAUUUUCUUAGAUCUUGCAAGGUUCUCCUGUUAUCCCCAGCUGCAGGGGUACCUCUCCCACCAAGAACAUGUGAAAUUUCCCCCUCAUUUGAAAAAAAAAAACCAAUUUGCUACUAUGUUUAUAUAUAUAUAUUUUGAAAAUCUGGGAAAAAUGACA
Molecule: small RNA, 734 nt
Filed under: Pongo abelii (Sumatran orangutan)
Lineage: Eukaryota; Metazoa; Chordata; Mammalia; Primates; Hominidae
Description: processed transcript
Source: RNAcentral